RNAcentral lists this ribosomal RNA (253 nucleotides) under uncultured bacterium. Its description in RNAcentral is "partial 16S ribosomal RNA". It matches the Rfam family "Bacterial small subunit ribosomal RNA", at positions 524 to 776 of the family's 1533-position model. The record is from RNAcentral.
UACGUAGGGUGCGAGCGUUGUCCGGAAUUAUUGGGCGUAAAGGGCUCGUAGGCGGUCUGUCACGUCGGGAGUGAAAACACGGGGCUUAACCCCGUGCCUGCUUCCGAUACGGGCAGACUAGAGGUAUGCAGGGGAGAACGGAAUUCCUGGUGUAGCGGUGAAAUGCGCAGAUAUCAGGAGGAACACCGGUGGCGAAGGCGGGUCUCUGGGCCGAUACUGACGCUGAGGAGCGAAAGCGUGGGGAGCAAACAGG